UAUCGGAUUUUGGUUCACGGCUGGGCGGUCCGCUUCACGGCGUGCUACUGUCCGGUCUGGGCCUUUCCUCCUGGUGAACUGACGUAGUUCGCUACGUUUGGGAACCAGACUUUUACUUUGAAGAAAUUAGAGUGUUCAAAGCAGGCUUGACGCCCGAAUAAAUUACAUGGAAUAAUAAAAUAGACGUGCGGUUCUAUUUUGUUGGUUUUUGGAAUCGCCGUAAUGAUUAAUAGGGACGGUCGGGGGCAUUAGUACUCACAUGCUAAGGUGAAAUUCUUGGAUUUUGUGAAGACUAACUUCUGCGAAAGCAUUUGCCAAGGACGUUUUCAUUAAUCAAGAACGAAGGUUAGGUAUCGAAAACGAUUAGAUACCGUUGUAGUCUUAACAGUAAACUAUGCCGACUA
Molecule: ribosomal RNA, 404 nt
Filed under: uncultured eukaryote
Lineage: Eukaryota
Description: SSU rRNA
Rfam family: Eukaryotic small subunit ribosomal RNA
Source: RNAcentral